UCACUGGGUUGAGUUUGUCU
This 20-nucleotide microRNA is filed under the name Tribolium castaneum (red flour beetle). RNAcentral describes it as "tca-miR-309b-3p". Its record names the gene tca-miR-309b-3p. Lineage: Eukaryota; Metazoa; Arthropoda; Insecta; Coleoptera; Tenebrionidae. The record is from miRBase by way of RNAcentral.